RNAcentral lists this unclassified non-coding RNA (342 nucleotides) under soil metagenome. Its description in RNAcentral is "partial contains 5.8S ribosomal RNA, internal transcribed spacer 2, and large subunit ribosomal RNA". The stretch from base 1 to 120 matches the Rfam family "5.8S ribosomal RNA", at positions 35 to 154 of the family's 154-position model. The record is from RNAcentral.
GAUGAAGAACGUAGCGAAAUGCGAUAAGUAAUGUGAAUUGCAGAAUUCCGUGAAUCAUCGAAUCUUUGAACGCACAUUGCGCCCGCCAGCACUCUGGCGGGCAUGCCUGUUCGAGCGUCAUUUCAACCAUCAAGCCCCCAGGGGCUUGUGCUGGGGCCCUGCGGCUGCCCGCAGGCCCUGAAAACCAGUGGCGGGCUCGCUAGUCACACCGAGCGCAGUAGCACAUCUCGCUCAGGGCGUGCGGCGGGCUCCUGCCGUGAAACCCCCCACUGUAACCCCAAAGGUUGACCUCGGAUCAGGUAGGAAUACCCGCUGAACUUAAGCAUAUCAAUAAGCGGAGGA